This is a long non-coding RNA of Hemicordylus capensis (graceful crag lizard), 742 nucleotides long. RefSeq lists it as uncharacterized. Lineage: Eukaryota; Metazoa; Chordata; Lepidosauria; Squamata; Cordylidae. The transcript has 3 exons. The record is from RefSeq and is a predicted model, not a curated record.
CUGGGAAGGCCUGCUAGGCCUUUGGACUCUUCAUGCUUGCAGCUCCUCAUUUCAGCAAAGGAUGUGUUGCCAGGCUUAGUUGUGUGUUUCUUGGGUUUGCUCACUCAGUUCUGAUCAUCUGCUGCUACUGAGCACUAUUAGUCAGUAAGGAGAAGCAACUGUUUGACUGAGGUGACACCUUUCGGAAACACAAAGCUAGAUAAAAUCCUGCUCAAGUGGGCCACCUGGGAAAAGAACACUUCACAGCCCACACAAUUUUCUCUGUUGGGGGCUGGCUUUCUUCUUCAUGGUCCACUGUCCUGAAAAGGGACAUCAAUCUCAAGAAAAACAGAGCAAGGCAAAGGCAUUAAUUCCUGUGGAGGAUUCAAAAGAAGUUGUUCGGCCAGCAGAUUCAGUCUCUGGCUCUCACCCUCAUGGGCAGAAAGCUAAUCCUUGUUAAUGCAGCCUUGGGAUCAAAGCUGUCUGAAUAUAUAUUGAAAAUGAAUUCUGGCUGCAACUGGAAAGAUUUGAGAAAGAAGAGAAAAAGCAUUCAAGUCCCACCCUUUUCUCUGACAGCUUGGAAACCAGAAGGAGGGAAAAGAAAAGGUGCCAGUGUUGGGAUCUUUGCACAGCAACAAUGGAAGGAAAGUGAUGAGCUAUUAAAUAGUUGAUGGAAGAGAAUUUGAGGUGUUUAUCCAAAAAUUAUGAAAAACACAUCAUCAAAUUAUGUUUAAGAAACCAUUUGCUCAAAUUUAGCAAAUAA